GUAACUUAAUACAAGUACCUACACUUUUCUGAGAAUAAAAAAACAUGUACCAAAUAACUACAAUGGGUUCUUAUUUUAUUAAGCAUACUACAAUAGUGUUAAAUCUUAAUUUUAUCUUCAGACUUUUGUUGCAGAAAUUAAUUUUUUUUGUAUUUAUUUGAAAAUUUGAUUUGAAAUCAGUAAAAGUAGUUUUUGUAAUGAUGUUUUAUAGUUUAAUAACAAAUUACUUAAAACCACAUAAUUUUAAUAUAAAUGUAUUUCCUAUGUAUUUCAUUUUAACUAGACUAGACACCUGUAAUGCAGAAUCAACCAGUCUCUCAAUCCUGGAGCUGUUUGUCCAGCAGUGAAGACCCAAGACCAGACUUCAGAGUAAACAGGAACUCUCCUGCAGUCUUCCUGAACCUCCUUGAUCAGGAUCGGUGACAUCGAUCAUCCUCCUGCAGGUGCUGGAGCUGCAUCACACCUCUGUACCUCAUGUUGUCACAGCGUGUGCCAUCCUCCACAACAUCUGCCUCUGUGUUGACGACACCGAGGCCCCAUAGGAAGAUGUGGAGGUGAUGAUGAGGACGCUGGUUUGGAGGUCACCAGCGGUGCUCUCUGGCAGGAUCAACUACCGGCUGAGGUUACUGCCCUGGGGGAGGUGCCACCUUGAUUACUGGUAACAGGUAAUUAAAUAAUCAAGAGAUUUUUUUUUCCAAGUUUUUUUUUCUUUUUCCAAAGCCUGUAAAUUCAUUAUCUCAUAUUUAUGGAUCAUUUUUGGUCAUGCAGCAUCCGUCCACAGCCAGCCCUGCAAACCCUGAAGAUGAACGAUGCAGUCUACAGUGAAGAUGAUCCUGAAGCUCUCUGCAGACCACCUUGCAAGAUGUUCAAUCAUCACCCAGAAAGUUCCAGCCCGGGUCUCAGUCUUAGCCCCCCCCAUCCAUGUCGACUAUCUUUGUAAAUGGUUGGAAAUAAAAGUUACAAUUAAUCCAUGACAAUCACUGUGUUUGAUUUAGAUCUUUAUUUAAAUUAACAAAACAAAAACAAACAUUUUUAAUAUAUCCAAUAUAAACGUCAUUUAUUUAUUCUCAGACAUCUAAGGAUUUUAACGGCAAUUUUUUCCAGCAGACUAAAGUUGUUCAAAAGUUUCCCUCCUCUCUCGUGCGCUCUGCUCUUCUGCCUCAUGUCCUCUCUGCUUAGGUCUAGAAGCUCAUCACUGUUUCUUCUUAUUUUUCUCCUUCCAGCCGGUGGCUCACUCCUUCCUUCUCUUUCUUCACUCUCCUCUCUUUCACCCACUGCUGUACUUCUCCAGCAGAUCCAUUUUCUC
Long non-coding RNA from Oryzias melastigma (Indian medaka), 1306 nucleotides. RefSeq lists it as uncharacterized. Lineage: Eukaryota; Metazoa; Chordata; Actinopteri; Beloniformes; Adrianichthyidae. The transcript is spliced from 2 exons. The record is from RefSeq and is a predicted model, not a curated record.